ACGCAGGCGCUUGCACUCUGAGUGGCGCACGGCUGAGGAUCACGUGGGAACAUGCCUCCUUGUGGGGGACAACACCGCGAAAGCGGUGCUAAUCCCGCAUACGCUCGGCAACGAGGAAAGCGGUAACGCGCAGGGAAAGUGGCCCGCGGCCCAUCAGGUCGUUGGUGGGGUAAUGGCCUACCAAGCCGGUGACGGGUAGCUGGUCUGUGAGGACAGACAGCCAGACUGGGACUGAGACACGGCCCAGACUCCUACGGGAGGCAGCAGCAAGGAAUUUUCGUCAAUGGGCGCAAGCCUGAACGAGCAACGCCGCGUGGAGGAUGACGGCCUUCGGGUUGUAAACUCCUUUUUCGGGGGAUGAUAAUGACAGUACCCCGGGAAUAAGGCUCGGCUAACUCUGUGCCAGCAGCCGCGGAAAUACAGAGGAGCCAAGCGUUGUCCGGAUUGACUGGGCGUAAAGCGCACGCAGGCGGAUAUGCGCGUGGGGUGUGAAAUCUGGCCGCUUAACGGCCAGGCGCCAUCCCAUACGGCACGUCUGGAGGGCUGCAGAGGUCGAUGGAAUUGCCGGUGUAGUGGUGAA
This 580-nucleotide ribosomal RNA is filed under the name uncultured bacterium. RNAcentral's name for it is "bacterial SSU rRNA". It matches the Rfam family "Bacterial small subunit ribosomal RNA", at positions 66 to 685 of the family's 1533-position model. The record is from RNAcentral.